RNAcentral lists this ribosomal RNA (590 nucleotides) under marine sediment metagenome. RNAcentral describes it as "SSU rRNA". It matches the Rfam family "Bacterial small subunit ribosomal RNA", at positions 8 to 610 of the family's 1533-position model. The record is from RNAcentral.
AGAGUUUGAUCCUGGCUCAGGAUGAACGCUGGCGGCGUGCCUAAUACAUGCAAGUCGAACGGGGAGUACUUACUUCGGUUUUUACUCCUAGUGGCGAACGGGUGAGUAACGCGUUGGUGACCUGCCCCGAAGAGGGGGAUAACUCCGCGAAAGCGGAGCUAAUACCCCAUGUGGUCAUACUGGUUAGAGGCGGUUUGACUAAAGGAGUAAUCCACUUCGGGAGGGGCCUGCGUCCCAUCAGCUAGUUGGUAAGGUAACGGCCUACCAAGGCGAAGACGGGUAGGGGACCUGAGAGGGUGGCCCCCCACACUGGCACUGAAACACGGGCCAGACACCUACGGGUGGCAGCAGUAGGGAAUAUUGCACAAUGGGCGAAAGCCUGAUGCAGCAACGCCGCGUGCGCGAAGAAGGCCUUCGGGUUGUAAAGCGCUUUUCUGGAGGAAGAGGAAGGACGGUACUCCAGGAAUAAGGAUCGGCUAACUACGUGCCAGCAGCCGCGGUAACACGUAGGAUCCGAGCGUUAUCCGAAUUUACUGGGCGUAAAGCGCGUGUAGGCGGUCAGGUAAGUUGGACGUGAAAUCUCCUGGCUC